GGGCCCUUAGCUCAGUCUGGUUAGAGCGCUCGGCUCAUAACACCGAGUGGUCGAUGGUUCGAAUCCGUCAGGGCCCA
RNAcentral lists this transfer RNA (77 nucleotides) under Natronobacterium gregoryi SP2. RNAcentral's name for it is "tRNA-Met". It matches the Rfam family "tRNA". From Rfam's summary of the family: Transfer RNA (tRNA) molecules are approximately 80 nucleotides in length. Their secondary structure includes four short double-helical elements and three loops (D, anti-codon, and T loops). RNAcentral also lists the same sequence under 1 other name. The record is from RNAcentral. Lineage: Archaea; Methanobacteriati; Methanobacteriota; Halobacteria; Halobacteriales; Natrialbaceae.